RNAcentral lists this ribosomal RNA (620 nucleotides) under Vulcanodinium rugosum. Its description in RNAcentral is "partial large subunit ribosomal RNA". It matches the Rfam family "Eukaryotic large subunit ribosomal RNA", at positions 43 to 651 of the family's 3401-position model. The record is from RNAcentral. Lineage: Eukaryota; Dinophyceae; Peridiniales.
UAAGUAAGCGGAGGAGAAGAAACUAAAUAGGAUUCCUUCAGUAAUGGCGAAUGAACAGGGAUCGGCUCAGCAUGGAAAUUGGGGCCCCUGGCCCUGAAUUGUAGUCUCAAGAUGUACUGCCAACGGAGGCGCAGAUGUAAGCCUCUUGGAAAAGAGCAUCAGCGAGGGUGACAAUCCCGCUUGCCAUCUGCAGCCCCCCGUGCACGGUGUACCUUCUAAGAGUCACGUUCCUCGGGAUUGGAGCGCAAAGUGGGUGGUAAAUUUCAUCUACAGCUAAAUACUGGUUCGAGACCGAUAGCAAACAAGUACCAUGAGGGAAAGGUGAAAAAGGACUUUGAAAAGAGAGUUAGAAGUGCCUGAACUUGCUGAAAGGGAAGCGAAUGGAACCAGUGUUGCUUGGCAAGAUUGCUGUGCACCACUGUGAGGGUCUGCUAUGCUAGCGCAAGUGGUGUGGUAGACUUUGAGCAGGACCUGCACGGUGUUUCUUGCCUUGUGUGUCAGCGUCAGUUCGCGCUUGGGGAAGACGUCAAGGACAUGGUAGCCUGCCCACGGGCAUGUGAACGUGCUUGCUCGAACUCAUGCGGAACUGCACGGUGACGAAAUAGGAUCCUUUCGACCCG